UGCUCCACUUGUUUAAGCGCUGUCCACAUCCUAGUCCACUCCUGUUUGCCAAUGCUUCUAAUAAAAUCGAUUAGAAAUCCGUCUUUCAAAGCAUCUGCGGUACGCAGUGGCUGGCGAUGGCGUCGAAGAGGCGGUUGGACGAGGGUGUGUCGCCAGCAAUGUUGAGGCAGAAUUUGGAGGCGUGCAUCCCUAUUGAAGCCUGCUCUUGCCUAAUGGUGCCACCCUGCAAAACCAAAAUCCAUCAUCAAGACAAAUAUCCAAUUGAUGAUGAUGAUGAUGACGAAGAAGACUCACAUCUUUCCUGUAGAC
Molecule: non-coding RNA, 309 nt
Organism: Salvia hispanica
Lineage: Eukaryota; Viridiplantae; Streptophyta; Magnoliopsida; Lamiales; Lamiaceae
Source: RefSeq, a predicted model, not a curated record